Long non-coding RNA from Dendrobium catenatum, 643 nucleotides. RefSeq lists it as uncharacterized. NCBI's taxonomy places the organism in Eukaryota, Viridiplantae, Streptophyta, Magnoliopsida, Asparagales, Orchidaceae. The record is from RefSeq and is a predicted model, not a curated record. The transcript has 4 exons.
UCCAAACUUAUUUUUCCGCCUCCGUCACCUCACCUGACCCAAUAAUUUGCCCCGUUCUUGCAUGCACCGCAUCCAUCUCGAAUGGAGCUCGUCGCCGGCACCAUCGGCAGCAUAUUAUCCGGUGCAGGCAAAGAGGUUCUUGUAGAAGUUGUGAGAUUGAUCCACAAGCAGGAAUUGAAUGGCUGUCGAGGAAAUUGGAAAGAAUUUCUGAACUCCUACGACAGGAAAUUUGGUGAUUCUUUGUGUGAUCCUUCAAAAGGUCGGUGGAUGUUCUUGUAGCUUUUCUAAAGAGCUUCAACCAGACCGAAGACUUCAUGCUUAUUGGUAAAUUAGUCAGGUAUUUAAGGGAUCAGAAAGCCCUUGAGUAGUAAUUAAAGAACUCCAUGGAUGAAGAGUCCCCUGAACAGAGGCUAGUUCGAUUGACUAUGGAGCACCCACAGUAUAGAAGACAGUAUUCUUUUUACUGUUAUAAUAAGGUUUUCUUUUACCUUUGCCAGGUCAUUUGGUUUAUUGUAUUGGAUACUGUUGUUAUAGUGCUAGAUUCUUGUACAAUUAGAUGCACUUUUAUUUAUCGCAAUGUAUUUUUUGUAAAAAUGUUCUAUGUAUGGCUUUAAUGAAUAAGCAUCUUCAGUGAUUUUUUUUU